CCUACGGGAGGCAGCAGUGAGGAAUAUUGGUCAAUGGGCGCGAGCCUGAACCAGCCAAGCCGCGUGAAGGAUGACUGCCCUACGGGCUGUAAACUUCUUUUAUAAAGGAGUAAAGUGAGGCACGUGUGCCUUUUUGUAUGUACUUUAUGAAUAAGGAUCGGCUAACUCCGUGCCAGCAGCCGCGGUAAUACGGAGGAUCCGAGCGUUAUCCGGAUUUAUUGGGUUUAAAGGGAGCGUAGAUGGGUUGUUAAGUCAGUUGUGAAAGUUUGCGGCUCAACCGUAAAAUUGCAAUUGAUACUGGCAGCCUGGAGUACAGGUGAGGUGGGUGGAAUUCGUGGUGUAGCGGUGAAAUGCGUAGAUAUAACGAAGAACACCGAUGGCGAAGGCGGCUUACUAAACUGCAACUGACAUUGAUGCUCGAAAGUGUGGGUAUCAAACAGGAUUAGAUACCCCAGUAGUC
RNAcentral lists this ribosomal RNA (460 nucleotides) under uncultured bacterium. RNAcentral describes it as "partial 16S ribosomal RNA". It matches the Rfam family "Bacterial small subunit ribosomal RNA", at positions 338 to 795 of the family's 1533-position model. The record is from RNAcentral.